This 28-nucleotide non-coding RNA is filed under the name Mus musculus (house mouse). RNAcentral also lists the same sequence under 1 other name. Lineage: Eukaryota; Metazoa; Chordata; Mammalia; Rodentia; Muridae. The record is from RNAcentral.
UCUUUCAGGUGGUUUGUUGUUCUGUACU